AAUGAACGUUGGCGGCGUGGAUUAGGCAUGCAAGUCGAACGAAUCCCCAGGGGCUUGCUCCUGGGGGGAAGUGGCGAAAGGGGCAGUAAGGCAUAGGUAACCUACCCCGCGGCCGGGCAUAGCCGUCCUAACGGACGGGUAAUUCCCGAUAGCCUCGUCGUGCGGCAUCGCGUGGCGAGUAAAGAAUUUCACCGUGGGAGGGGCCUAUGUAGUAUUAGCUAGUUGGUGGGGUAACGGCCCACCAAGGCGAAGAUGCCUAGCGGGUGUGAGAGCACGACCCGCGCCACUGGCACUGUGACACUGGCCAGACACCUACGGGUGGCUGCAGUCGAGGAUCUUCGGCAAUGGGCGAAAGCCUGACCGAGCGACGCCGCGUGUGCGACGAAGGCCUUCGGGUUGUAAAGCACUUUGGUGGGGGAGAAAGCCGCAAGGUUGAUCGAUCCCAAGAACAAGCACGGGCUAAGUUCGUGCCAGCAGCCGCAGUAAAAC
This 489-nucleotide ribosomal RNA is filed under the name uncultured bacterium. RNAcentral's name for it is "bacterial SSU rRNA". It matches the Rfam family "Bacterial small subunit ribosomal RNA", at positions 28 to 526 of the family's 1533-position model. The record is from RNAcentral.